GACGAACGCUGGCGGCGUGCUUAACACAUGCAAGUCGAACGGUAAGGCCUUCGGGUACACGAGUGGCGAACGGGUGAGUAACACGUGGGUGAUCUGCCCUGCACUUUGGGAUAAGCCUGGGAAACUGGGUCUAAUACCGGAUAGGACCAUGGCCUGCAUGGGUUGUGGUGGAGAGCUUUUGCGGUGUGGGAUGGGCCCGCGGCCUAUCAGCUUGUUGGUGGGGUGAUGGCCUACCAAGGCGACGACGGGUAGCCGGCCUGAAAGGGUGUCCGGCCACACUGGGACUGGGAUACGGCCCAGACUCCUACGGGAGGCAGCAGUGGGGAAUAUUGCACAAUGGGGGCAAGCCUGAUGCAGCGACGCCGCGUGGGGGAUGACGGCCUUCGGGUUGUAAACCUCUUUCAAUAGGGACGAAGCGUGAGUGACGGUACCUAUAGAAGAAGCACCGGCCAACUACGUGCCAGCCGCCGCCGUAA
RNAcentral lists this ribosomal RNA (476 nucleotides) under uncultured bacterium. RNAcentral describes it as "partial 16S ribosomal RNA". It matches the Rfam family "Bacterial small subunit ribosomal RNA", at positions 28 to 523 of the family's 1533-position model. The record is from RNAcentral.